UGGGGAAUAUUGCACAAUGGGCGCAAGCCUGAUGCAGCCAUGCCGCGUGUAUGAAGAAGGCCUUCGGGUUGUAAAGUACUUUCAGCGGGGAGGAAGGGAGUAAAGUUAAUACCUUUGCUCAUUGACGUUACCCGCAGAAGAAGCACCGGCUAACUCCGUGCCAGCAGCCGCGGUAAUACGGAGGGUGCAAGCGUUAAUCGGAAUUACUGGGCGUAAAGCGCACGCAGGCGGUUUGUUAAGUCAGAUGUGAAAUCCCCGGGCUCAACCUGGGAACUGCAUCUGAUACUGGCAAGCUUGAGUCUCGUAGAGGGGGGUAGAAUGCCAGGUGUAGCGGUGAAAUGCGUAGAGAUCUGGAGGAAUACCGGUGGCGAAGGCGGCCCCCUGGACGAAGACUGACGAUCAGGUGCGAAAGCGUGGGGAGCAAACAGG
Molecule: ribosomal RNA, 429 nt
Filed under: Chloroflexota bacterium
Lineage: Bacteria; Bacillati; Chloroflexota
Description: Chloroflexi bacterium partial 16S ribosomal RNA
Rfam family: Bacterial small subunit ribosomal RNA
Source: RNAcentral